Long non-coding RNA from Drosophila simulans, 16458 nucleotides. RefSeq lists it as uncharacterized. The record is from RefSeq and is a predicted model, not a curated record. Lineage: Eukaryota; Metazoa; Arthropoda; Insecta; Diptera; Drosophilidae. The transcript is spliced from 2 exons.
AUUCGGCUUACGUAAUAUCCCUCUUUGGGCAUAUUCUAAGCAACUAUAGUUAUAAGAUAUUGAAUUGCACCCUAUUUAUAUAUUAUAGCACGUAAUUACUCUAUACAUAUUUUUAAAUAUUCCUUUCCCGUGUCGUUCCCAUCACAUAAGGUACACUACACAAUCAUUAAGAAACGCCAUGAAUCGAUUUGACUUAGCCUUAAUCACAUGCCAGUGCAAUUACAUUGCUGGUAUCAAUAAAAAUAAACUCGUUUUACGCUUAUUAAUAGUAACAUUUAAUGCUAUUUGUUGAUUGUGUUGAGUCUAAAUACUCUUUUACAUGAGCAAGCUGUUCUGUACUGGAUUGCUUCUACAUAUUCGGGAUGAUUUAAGCGAAAUAAAUACGAAUUUAUGGGCCUUAAAUACAUUAGAAAUGGGGACUUACAUGAAAUAAACCAAGAACGCUAGGCAUAAUUUUUUUGGAUUGUUUAGAAAAUUAAAAUUUUUCAAGGGAAAAUGCAGACGGUAUACCGCAGAUAGUUUUUGUAAAUCGAUGAGCAAAACAUCGUAACAUUAUGCACAACUUAUGCAAAAAUUAAAAGACAAUUUCGAAAUAGGGGAUCCCCAAAACCGCAAACCCUGCGACUAAUAGUUAAGAUUGCCUUUUGCCAAAUCCGCCAUUUUGCUUUCGAUCGUUUCGUUAAUGAAAAUUUCUCGCUGUGCUUAGACAACGCUCUCGCACGCCAAUGCAAUCGAGCAGCUAGGCUUUUGCUGUCGGCGAGAGAGGGACGGAGCGAGUAUCUGGGCGAGUGUGUGUACGAGGUUUGCUUGCUAUGUUUUUCCGAACACAGCGGAGCAACGACAACAAAAGCAGACAGAGCGGGCCAAAAAAUGUUAGAUGCCGACCGCCCUCCGCAGGCCCCGUUUCUUCGAUUGUGUGGCGUUAACCAUUACAUGCAAACUCACACCUACAGGCGAUGCCGGCAGAGCCGUCGGCAGAGGCCGCGGCAAGCGCGCAUUCAUUCAUACUUGUUGCUCUGCGCUCAUGUAUCUGUAUCGGUGUGAACUCCCCGCUAAUGUGUUGGUGUGUCGGUGUAUUGGUAUGUCGUUGAUUGCGCCGCAAACUAAAGUUUCGUGAGGCAUUUGUUUCAGUACGUCACCGACAGUGCCAUCGAAAAGAAGGAGGAGGCGGUGAGCCGGACUCAGCACUUGGGAAUUAUAGUGUGUAGAGUGUUGAGUAUGGAGUAGGACUGUCGCUGGCAUCUGGUCACACUGUUAAGGGGGUCUUGUCAAGUAACGUGCCGGGAUUCUUUCAAUUCUCGAAUCUUUAAGACUCAAUAGUGUCUUCGAACAAGUGUAGUGUGCCUAACGUUUAAAUUGCCCAAAAAAAUUUGCAACUUUUUUACGACGCAGUUGCAAAGAAAACAAAGCAAGCCAGCCAAGAGCAACUUAAACGACGUAUUUAACAAUACAAAAAAUCGAAAAAACCUAAAGCGAGAGAGGCGAAACUAGGGGAACACAACAACAAACGCGACAACAACAAGAAUUAAAAACAAACUCGCUCGCGACUUUUGAGCCUCGCAACUGAAUAAUUAAAAUUAGAAGCGGAAAAGUAAAUACAAAAAAAACAAUAAAUAAAUUUCAAAUAAAGAACCCGAAACGCUUAUACACAUACGUACGUAUAUAAGUAUUUGGAAAGAACAAAAAAUGGCGCACAAAGAAACUGUGAACUUAUACAAUCAAAAAAUUUUUAUUUGAUUGCAUGUCCAUAUAUAUGUAUGUGUACAUGUGAACUUUGUACCAGUGACAAUGAGACGACAGACGCAGAUGAUGAUUAAGGCAGCGAUGAUGAAUGAAACUGUGCCCUACGCUGAUGUACGACCGAUGUACUAUCAAUGAAAGGGCCUAGAAGAUACCGAGAUAUAAGAUAAAUCAAAACAAACACACCAUAUAACAGAGUUGUGCGGUGGGAGUGGAUAAGCUCUAUAUACACACUCUUUUGGCGGCGUGCAUUGAACUAAUUUGUCGUUGUUGCUCUUUCUGUUUUUUGUACGCGACUAGUUUUCCUCGUUUCGUUUCUUUUGCCUUUUUAUAAUACCCUCUGUGUAUUUAUUUAAAGCGCAAAUGUUUUAGAUACGACAUAUAGCCAGGGGGAGGGCGGCGAUGGGGGCUACGAGGGGGCGGGGACCAGACCAGAGCUAGCCAGUCAGACCGCUGUCGACAAAUAAAACAACAAAGUAAACUACAGAAACAACUAAAAGGCAAACUUGCCUAUCUGCCUAGCCUUAUAUUGAUGUUGUUGGUGUGUUGUUGUAGCUGCUCUUGUUGUUGCUGAAUUUCAGUGCGUGUGCUCAGCAUUUAACUAAACUGGCACACACGCACACCAACACCAGAGAACGGAAAACGAAAAAAAAUUAAAACACACCAACAGCUACACCAACACUCAACAACAGCCACACAAAGAGGCACACCAACACUAUCACACUGAGUUGUCAGGGCUGGCAGUCUAGUGCUUAUAUAAUCACCGUCUAAUGGGCUUUGUUUGUAAGUAUUGAAUGCAAUUUGUUUAAAAAUGUUUUAUAUCAUUUUACGUGUGUUAAAAUGUGCAGCGCCCUUGUGUGCAUGCAAUGCAACUCGAACAGCUGUUUGCCAUAACACAAAACAGCUGUUCCACUGCAAGUCCUAAAAAAGAAAAAAUAAGUAAAGAACAACAAAAAGAGCGACUGCGACGCCGGCUGCGCAGCCAUGUGUCCUUACAGCAGUCAUUGUGAGAGACUUUCUUGCGCACCAAAAAAUAUCAAGUAUACGCAACCGACACCGCAAUCGGGAGAGCGAGCGAGCAACCGAGUGCUCUCUCCGCGCGGCGUUGCCAGAUUGUCAUUUACUGUUAUUCAAGUGAAUCCAUGUACAGGCAAACUUCGCAAAGGGGAACCACAGUUGUACCGGUAAAUUAAUUAAAACUAUUUAUUAACGUUAAAAUAUCUCUUUAUGGUUAUACUUAAAAUUAAUAUUUCGUUUCGUAUAAAUUACAAACACUAAACAGUGCUCCAAAUAAUAUAAUUCUUUCGAAUUGAGCUUGAUCUAACUGAACUUGUUAAUAAUAUAUUAAUAUUGUAGUGUGAGCACUAAAACGGUGUUGCAUACUUUUGAAAACGUUUUAUCCCGGCAAGCCUAUAUCCCAGGCAAUUUUUGUAAAAUUAUUGAGUUUAAAAUAUUUAUUUUGUACUAAAUUUUUCAAAUUUCGUUCAGAAGGGCAAAUGGUUUUCAAUUACAGAAGUUGAAUGCAACCCAGUUAGCCUAGAUCGAGCGUAUUUGAAUGAAAUCACUUAAUUCGAUAAUUGAACAUUGUUACGAGUAUUAUUAAUAUUUUUUGUGCGCCUCUGGUAAUUUGAAACCCAUUAGGGUUGCCAAAGCGCCGCGGUAAUUUGGUGAGCAGCAAAACUAGUGCGCAAAAUGAGUUUGCAGCCCCAAUGCGUAUUGUCCGUACUAUAUAGUACGUAAUAAACAGCCAAGGCGCAAUAUGCGCAGCUUCAAUACAGAGCCGACAGAUACGGAUACAGAUGGGCACACACUAAAUAGUUUUUCGGAAGGGGUUUUCGCUGUUUUCGGGCUAUCGGGGGCCGAGGCCUACCCAGUUCUGAAUGGUUGCUGGUGUUAUUGUUGUACUUGGAGGCGCCUUCUUCGAGCCUCAAGUUCGCAUCGAGGGAAUGAACUGACAAACGAGUCGCCAUGUGUAUCUGUGUUUAUAGUUAUUGUUGUAUGGUAGUUUUUUCUGCUUGUUGUAGUAGUUUCUGUCUUUCUAUUAUAUUUAAAUGCGCAAUUAAGAUUGGCACUGCCCGUGGCAGCGCAACAACAACACGAACCACAAGAAAACAACAGCAACAGAAGCGGUAACAAGAUCAAAGUAUUCACAAAAUUGAACCAGUUUGAGUUUUACGCAUUUAUCAUUCGUCGUCCGAAUCUGAUCAAAAUCGCACAACCUAAAUCCGCGAACAGCAGAUCUUUGGCUGCAGAUAAAAAACACGAGCCAAGAAUUAAAAUAAUUUCGUUUUCUGGGGGUAAAAUUAAGUUAAACACUUAACCACAUGCUCCAUGUUCCAUAUUCGUGAUUGAUCGAUCCGAUUUGACACGAAUAUUUUGCUUAAUUUGUGGGAACCAAAACAUAAUGCCAAGACAUUAAGGGUUUAACUACAAAUUGGUAAGGCAGGAAUGUUUGUCAAGCCUCCAAUUAGCGUGUUGCUUUCUCUUCAAAUGAUAAUGUCACAUUGAGGAAAAUAGGUUUAGUCAGAAAACCACAAUAUAUUUCGAUUUCAAUUAUUUUUUAUCGAAUUUUAUUGCAGAUUUUUAAAGUCCAAUAUUUUGUAUAAUGAUCUCUAAGACAUCAAGUAUACGCCAACAUACUGAGUCAGCUAAGAGCUUUGAAACAAAAUAUAACGUAUACGUCUGGUAAAAAUUAAAUUUCCCAGCUUAAAACUAUAAAACUUCUCUUGAGCUGCAGUAAACUUAAAUGUUCCCAAAUACUUAUUUUAAAGACACCCUCUAUCCUAGAUGCUCUAUGACAUUUUAUGGCUUUUAAUUGACCAGACGCUGUCGCACAUGUCCAACGAUAAUGAUCCGUUUAGUUAUUUUCGUAUAGACAGCGAUUUAUUUAUAAAUGCCGCGACGGAUCUCUCCUUCUGCCAGCUAUAUUCUGGUGGCUAUAUCUGCCACAGUGUCUGCCAUAAUUAGGCGCACAGUUGGCGCAAUUAAGGCGCUGGCCAAAGUCUUUUACAAGCGAACGUCAUCGAGCAGCAUAAAUAAUCGCAAUCCAAAUACGCGGCCAAACAAAUAUUAACAAGAUCUGAGAUCUGAGAGGAAAUCGCGGCACUGCCUGGAAAUCGUUUAGCUUCUUCGUACUUUUUCUUUUUUUUUUGUUUGGCUCUGACGUAAAAUGGCCCGAGUCAAUUUCGAUUUCAUUCAGCUCUCGAUGACGUACACAUUGGCCUCUCAACGACCACCGCCCACCACCCACCGCACACCGCCCCUUUACAUUGCCGCAGCAGACAACCUUGUAAAGUUUUUGUGCGUCAUUUGCCGCUGCUAUUUUUUCAGCAGCGAUUUCCACGGCUCUUUCCCUUCUGGGCAGCAGUUGUUUUGCAAUUUUAUCGCCGCCGCAUCUCCAAUAAUAAUAUCAACUCGUAAAAGUCCAGGCCCUGCACAAAUUACACAGAUAUAUGUACAUAAGUUCGUAAGAUUCCCUGCGUGCGUCAUAGUUUUCUGUAAUUCUCGAUCUCGUUACUGCCUGGCCAUUUCCAUAUCUACUUGCGGAGGAGCUAUAUGUACAUAUAUAUUCCUAAUCUGUCGGCGGUCGUUGAUCGCACUCAUCGAGUUUCCCCGAAAGUGACUAAGUGCAUGGCUACUUUCUCGGCUAUUCUGGGCUUAUUUGCAUAUGGACUUGGAGCGGCUCAUGGACUGGUUCAUAGGUCGCCUGUGACUCAAUCUGCAAAUGUGUAAAUCGGAUUUCCUAUUCUGGGAACUAUCGUUGAUCGUUGCCGUUUCCUAAUCUCUAUAAAUACCAAGGGUCGAUAGAAUUUCAGAGAAUUCUAAGUGAAUCAGCGGACUUAGUAAGUAGUUUUUGCCCAGUUGCGACGAGUUUUUAAAUACUUUACCAAGCGCCACCAUAUGUCUGUUUUUUAGUAAUAAUAAGAUAUUCACAAAGUAACUACAUGAAUGUAUUAUGUAUGUUGGAGUGAAGCAGACCCUAACUAGUGCAGACUCAGGACAAAUCAGGCAAAUGCGAGGGAUUCGAGUGGCUGACUGGCUGGGUAUCAGAACCGACCACAUCGCCUUGGGUAUUCGUAUUCAGAUACAUGUGCCCCCCGUCCAUGUGCCAUAUCAAAUCCUAUAUAAUCCGAACAAGAGGCUGGGAAUCAAGCGUUCAUUCAAGCGACUUAUUUAGACACUCGCUCGCAUUUGGACUUGAAUGAGUUAGUUGUGUUGUUUGUUGUUGCUCGGUUUACUUCCGCUGCUACUAUAAUGGGUGUACGCGAGUGUGCACGUGUGUGGGUGUGUGGGUGUCGUGAGCGUAUAUGUGCGGAUCUGAGUGUGGGUGCAUGUGUGUAUUAUGUUUUUGUCGCUGCCUGCGAUUUUCAUUCAUUAAAUGCAAGCGCAGCACACACACACACACACAUGCGCCGAUUGCGACGGCACGCACACACGAAUACGUAUUCGAUUCAUUCAUAAAUUCAUGCAGCAGCAGCAGCAGCAACAAACGCCGCCCCCUCCUCCCACGCCCCCACUGCGGCCUCUGCCACUGGCUCUGCCUGCGUCGGCGUCUCGUAUCAUCGCUCCAACAACAAAAGCGGCAGCACUAUGGCAGCAGCAACCUCAAAUGCGCUCUUGCUGCUGCUGCCGAUGCACUGAAAGAAACGGAGUGAAAUAUCCCCUCGCUGGAAAUAAUAGUUUUUGCUGGUUAGUGUGAACUUUUGGCUACAGAACUUUUGUAAGUUAUUGUUUAAAGAAAAAUUGAUCACUUGCUAGAAAAAUAAUGUAGCCUACUUACCAGCUUUCAAAGCUAUAGAGAUUUAAAAAAUAUUUAUUUAUUCAAGCCCGAUUUCUUACUGUGUCCCCUUGGUUUAUCUAUGCCAAACAUCGCACCGUGGUUCCCGUUUCCAGUCUCCAUUUCCACAAUUUCCCCAUUUCCCCCUCCACCGCCAGCUGGCGGCUUCGUUGCAUUUUAUAGAUUCGUUCUAAAUUUCAAUGAAAUUUCAUUGAGCACGCAGAGCACGGCAGCAACAACACCAUCAACCAUCGCUGAUAACUUCGGAUCGGAUCCCUAUCUCUAUCGCUUGUCGUUGUUUGCUAUGGGGUCAGUCAUUCAAUAGGAUCGACCCGAGCAUAGCUUGCCCCAUCCAAGUUCCCUUAAUGUGCUGAUUUCGUUCAUUCACAAUAUACGAUUGUGUCCGCAAUUAUGGUAAUAAACUAAUAAAAACUCUAUUAAACGUACUUCCGGUACGCGAUUAUGCCAAUAACCUACAAAAAUAAAUGAGAACUAUAAAUAAAUGGUGUAUACGCUACAGUAUCGAUACAGUAUCAGUCGGAGUCAAGUCAUACUUGGCCAACCCUUGGCAUCUAGUUUGAGAUUGAUACUAUCCCACUAAUUUCGACCCUGUGACUACUAUUAUUUUGCCCACCACUGUGAUUAUGCACUGUGUACGGUUAUGAAUGAAUGAAGUUCACACACACUCGCACACUGGCUCUCACCCACACGCGCAGCUACCCUACCCACACAUACAACUCGUGUUUGCUUCGUCGGUGUGGUUUUGGUCACAUUAUUUCCGGCUGGCGGCUUUUGGCUGGGUUUUUAUUUAUAGCUGGGGCGUCGGAACUUCUUCUUCAUCAGCAGCGAAGUCUUCUGCCUACUUACGGCUCUUCACCGGCUGCUUCUUCUCUGCCUUUCGUCCCAACAUGUUGCACACUUAAAAAAAAUCUGACUGUCAUGCACUACAAAUUCCAAAAGCAUUUUAAAGUGAGAACUAUUUUACCGAAGGAAUACAAUGUGUAUACUUCCAAUUCAAAUCUUCGAAGAUUCGAAUUUUUUGUCCAAUUACUUCCAAUUUCCAAGUGACUUUUCUCUCUGUGUGCUUGUAUGUUGGCCACUCCAAAAAUGCAGUUGGCAGCACUUCCUCAUUUGGACGCACCGGAAGUGAGCGGAAAUGCUCGCACACUCGCAUUAGUCACUUUUGUUUUCACUUCUUGAGACACCCGCCCGCGCCAUGUGUCCCAUAUAUCCCCACAAAUGCACGCAUAUACAUACAUAUAUCCCCACUUUAGCUUCCGUUGAUAAAACCCAGUCCCGCGACCUCCCGUCCCGAUCCCACUGGCUGCUAUUUAUGGCGAAAGUGUUUGGUGGAGUUUGUUAUUGUUGGGCCCCCGAGUUCAAUAGUGCUUUGAACUCUAGCUGCCCCGUCCCCGUCCCGUCUCUCUCGCACCCCUCCUGCCGUCUCUUUCGUUUCGUGUGUGUCUGACUCUUUCUGGCUGGGAAUGCAUCGAAAAUAGAGCGGCAAAUUGUCUGGCUGCCUCUGCUUCUGCUGCCGCUGCUUUUGCUGCUCUUGCUGCUUUGGCUUUGGCUUUAGCUUUAGCUUCAGCUAUAGCCGUGGCGAAAAAGGGCGAAUGAAUGGGUCUCAGAUCAGGAAAGGCGGCGGCGGUGGCGGCGACGACGACGAUGGUGGGAGGGGCACUACUUCCGCCGCGAGGCUUACGCAAAAAGACGUUAAAUUUAUGAAUAUGAAUGAGCCUCCUCCACUCGCAGCGAUCGCCGCUCGUCCCCACGCUGCACUCACAUGGCAUGGAGGCACCGAAACUGGGCCAAAUGUCAUUAAUACAUCAGAUCCGGACAUGCGAGCGGGAAGCAAAUCAUGCGUUGACAGCGGGGACCACGCAAAUAGGGACGAAGGGGGGAAGUCUCGUAGCAUCUAGUAGGCCGGGCAGCAUUGGCCGGGGCGACGCCCACAUUUGGAGCGGAUUCCAAACUCCGACGACGACUGCUACUCCUACUUGGCCACAUCCACAUCCACAUCCGAUUGCAGCCAGUUUGUUGUUGGUUGGCCGAGGAAUGUGCUAUUAUUAUGCCAACCGAGCGAAGAGAGAUCGCUUGGCCACUCCACGAUUUUCUGCAUCCGCCUCGCGGGAAUGCGAAUGCCACAGAACGGGGUGGGGUGGGGUACAUGCUGUUUAGGGAGUUAACUAUAUAGUUAUAUAUUUAAAGAUUACUGUAAGACAUUGAAUGGUGCUCCAUACAGAUCACUGAUGUAUAUAACGCCUGGUCAGAACAAAAGUACGGCGCUGGGCCAGUGACACGGACUUGGGAAGAGACAGAGAUGCGGAUGCAACUAUCCAACUAGACUAUGGCCACAAAGGCGGGCGCUGGCCAGUGCAUUCAACUGGAAUUUGGGUCGGGUGGCGUGGCAAGAUGCAAGCGGCAAGACGCUCGAAUGCGCUUUCUUCCACAGCCACAGCCACAUCCACAUCCACUGCCAUUUCCAUAUCCACUCCUGCUCCGGUUCCUGCGCCUCCCCCCAAGUUCCCCCUUUCAUUAUCAUCGGGUUCAUUCAGGAGGGAAAUGGGGACUGGUGGGUGGGGCGGCGUCCGUCGGGCGGUUCGUUAGCGGGCCAAUUGUUGUCACUACUGCCUCUGUUUUUCUUUCCUUUUUUUUUUUUGCCUUUCAAUUGUGCGACUUUGUGGCGCUGCCCAACACUUGUAUGCUAAUGCAACAGCCUUCGCUUUCCCAGCACAGUGGGACCAGACACGCAGUCACCGAACAAAGCAUAUGAAAAUAUAGCUAUGUUUUUUGAUAUCCUUUAGGAUCGCUGUACAUCCGGCAGAUCGUCGUAGGAAUUCUUACUGACCGGACAUCAGCUUUUACCCAUGCGAGUACCAAUCCGACCCACUGUGCCUCCCCAUUGCCUCAAUUGCAGUUGCAGUUGAUGGCUCUCGAGUGUGCGUGUGCCCAUUUGCAGCGGCGUCAGCGUCAGCGGCUUAUCUCCUCCAACCUGGCGGCCACUGCACCACUGCACCACCGUGCAAAUGCAACUGCAACUGCGAGUGCAACUGACGAGCCACUGUUAAUUUUGCCAAGUUUUUUGCUGCCCAGUUUUUGCUGCUGUGCAAGUCUCUCAUGCAUAAAAUUUUACACGACAUAAUUUUUCAUGAAAUGGCUGGGAUCCUCCCGGUGCGGCGUCGUUGUCGACGUCUCUUUCCGACGUCUAACCAAGCCGAGUGGUACCAGUACUACUAUAUAGCCACCGGCUAUAUCCACAUCCACAACCACGUCCACGUCCAUCCCGUUGCCGUUGUUUUGGGCAGGUUCGGUGCACUUUUUGCCGGCUGACCGCGCUCACUCGAGUAGAAAUUAUGUGCAAUUUGUCUAGCCAGGGGUCUGGUAUCUAGUCGCUAGUCGCUAGACUCUAGACUCUACAGCAGUCUACAGUUCGAUUUCGAUUCCAUUUAACUCCGCCCCGUAUGGUUGCACAUAAAGGAAGUUCGGUGGUAAAGGGUUCGGUUUUACUAUUGUUUUUGGAUUGAAUUAUUUAUGUAAGUUCAAAAUGCAAUGGUAAACAUAACCACCACUCUGUUACUUGAUACAAUUGAUAUAAGGAGAUGUAUGUAUGAUUCGGUGCCUCUAGUUUCUCCCAGUGCAUUACUGCUUCUUAAUGAUCGGUGGGCUGUAUGCGCAUCACGUGCUUCCUAUUAGAUCGCGGGUAUUAUCAUUAGGUUCGGUGCGGUGUGCUUCGGUUCGGUUCGGUUCGGGCCGACUUUCGACCAGGCCAAAAGCAAUUACACCGAAAGGGGGAAUUCUUCUGCCAUCGAAUCGGAUCGCAUCUACCGUACGAUCGCUAACCAUGCAGCCGGCUGGGAAUGGAAAUGGGUAUGCGAAUGGGAAGGAAAACGGUAAUGCCAGUGCCAGUGCCAGUGCCAGUCGCUCCACGUCAUAGGUGCUCCUCAAGUGGUGGUAUAUCGCGGCCCUGCUGAUAAGUUGUAUUAAUUAUUUUUAUGGUCUUGACGUUGCUCCGUUGAUGUUGUAAAUAGUACACACAGUCGGUCGAAAGUCCAAGAAGCUUUCGAUUGGGAAAUCUUGCUUGGUUUUCCCUUUGUUUUUCAAUUUUCUUCCCGAGGAGAGAAGAGGAACAGAACUCAAUUUCCGCCUGAGGCCGACUCUUUUCCACCCGGUAAGUGCCAGGCAUGUGACUCAAUCUUGAGUAUUUUCGUACCCUUGGCGCAUGGCUGUGGUGGGGCUACGGCCAUGGCAUCACAUGUCAUUUAUAGUUUGGCCUUUGUAUGGGCCUACCGUCGUCGGCCUGUUGAUAAGCCGUAGAUUGAGCGCGUGCUUUGUGACUGGGCUGCUCGGGUCUGGUUGCUCCGGGCCUCAUUCCGCUUCUACCGAGGGGUCCACAGGUGUGUGUACACUUUCGAAAUUCCAGAAAUUCUCGCGUCAAGUAGCCGCCCCGAAAACCUUAUCACUCAGACGAUCGUCCAGCCACUGAUUCCUGUGUUACUCCACUGGAGGGCCGCGAAAGCGACGAAAGCUUGUCAAUGGAUGGCAUUGAUACGGGACAGUUGGCUGGAUUGAUUGGGUUGAUUGUGGGCCAUCGUAAAUACACCUGGCGCCCGGAAUUCAGGGAAUUGCUAAUCAGAAAGGUGCAAAGGCUUAACCAAAUGGAAUUUAAUGAAUUUGUGGUAUUUAUAGAAAGAAGGGGCAUAAAUAGAACAGCUUUAUAUUUGUAGAUAAAAUCUAGUAAAUUUAAAGAUCUCUUUAAGAAAAAAAUCUAGUUACCAGACCACAAAAUCAUAACACAAUUUUCGAGUUGCAUUCCUAUUAAGAUCUAUGUCUAGAUUUAAAUCUAAACAGAAAGUACUUCUAGCUACUGAAAUCCACGAUCAAAUCGGGUCUGAUUUAUUUCCGUUUUCGUGAUAUUUCCGAGCCAGUUGGGGAUUGUCCCAUUUGGCAUUUGAUAUGCAUGCAGCCGACCGAUACAACACUCCCCCGCUUUUGGACCCAGUAGAUCCCCCCAGCGAUCUGCGGCCAUAAAUAACCAGUAAAGCCUAUGGAAUUUCCUAUAAAUAAGUUCAUGACGAAUGUAACAAAAAUUCCCCGAGCAACCUUAGCCCCGCGCCCUUCUUUACAAACGUUUGUGUGUGUGUGUGUGUUGUAAAUGACCUCGUUCACAUAAAGUUCAGAAAUUCCAUUUACAAACUUGUAAUUGAAAAAAUCCACACACACACGAGCGAGAUUGUCUAGAGACAAAGUCAAACACGUUGGAAUUUUUGUUUUUUUUACCGUUCAAUGACGAAUUUUACAGAGUGUGUGUGUGUGUGUGUGUGCGUUGUUUACGAAAAACAAAAAACAGAACGCCACCAGCUACAAACACACGAAGAAAAACAAAAUAAAAAACGAAACGAAAAUUCCAAAAAGACACUUACGAAAGCCCCACAGCAUUUUUUAUUGUUCCGUAGAUUACAACAUAUAGGAAAACGCUAGAAGCGCUGAAGAAUUUUCGGGGGCGAGAAGAAGAGUGCGCUACACGCCGAUAUAUCGGUAUACUGAUGUGACAAAAUGCAAAAGUAGCACAGAUUCAAAUGCAGAUAGGGAUACUCUUCUCGCCGGCUUGGAAGAAGAAGGCGGCUGGAAGGGGAGCGACUGGAAGGGGCGGGCAGUGUCGGUUUGUUUGUGGAAUGCCGUUUUGUAAGUUUCUUAUGCAUGCGCCUUCAAACAUAGUUCGGCAUCGAAACUUUCUAGCACACCGACACACAUACGAACGCGAUCCAGCCGACACACACACACGCACGCAGCCACACACUUAAGCGACUUUCGAAAGGUACAACUUUUAACGAAGUCGCUGCCUCAGCCGCUGCUCAGCCGACGCCACUGCCGCUGCCGCCGCCGCUGCCUCUGUCGACUUCGAAUUCCAACGCCAAGAUGAAAGAUCGGCGCAAAAGAAAAGAAAUAUUCAUUCAGUAAAAUUUCAUAGCUGCAGCCGCAUGGUUGUGCCGCUCUCGCCUGCUCUUGCUUUUCGCGCAACAAACCGAAACGAGAAACACAUAAAUAUCAAAGUGUGAACACUAGCGUACAUAUAAAAACUUUAAAUCUAAACUUAACUUAACUUGAGCAACAUGAGCAACAAAUGAACACGGGAAAGCGGUUCCAGCGAAGAGGUUACAAGGAGAGCAGACACAACCGCAUUCCAGAAAGUUUAAAUAACGCUGGAAGAAGGGGGAAAGUGGAAAACUAAACUCGAACUCGAACUCAGUGUGCCAGUGUAUGUGUGUGGAAUGCAGAAGAGGAAGAAGCAGCAGCAGCAGAAUAAGCAGCGAAUAGAAAAUAUGUCUUCAAACUGGUUUUUCGGUUUUUAGACUGUCGUCGUCGGCCAAUCGGGUUCCAUUGACAUCCGAACGAAAAAAAUAAUGCCUAACCUUCGAUGGGAACACUCGUAAGUCGGAAUUCACACACAAUAUGCACACACACAACGCCGUUUAUUGGCUGAAAUUGGAUGCUGUGUGUAUGUGCGGUUAUUUAGAAAUUCAAAUUGAAAUUUUUCAAGCGUGAGUCAUGCGACUGAGCGUGGGUUUUUGAGACCCGUUUCAUUCUUCCCGACUCGACGAUCCUAACCUUCACUGGGAACAGGAGUUAGCCGCCAGAACGUGAAUGGGAACAGAAUCGGGAACGGGAACAGUCAUAAAAGUUGCAUCACUCAGCACAAAAAGACGAAGAGGCGGGCAGACGGAGACACAAACAAGUCAACCACCAGCAUAGAAUGCGGCUGCCAGACAGGCGAGACGGCAAUAGUAGUGGCGGCAAGAAAAGGCGCGACAAGCAGAAGAACCGUUUUACUGAGAAAAGAAGAGCGUGCACGCGGCGUCAGGGUGCGAGCGGGAUAGCAAAACAGGCAAAGGGAAAAGGGACCGAAAAACACUGAGAGAAAUAAGAGUAAGGUGAACAUGAAAAUUAAGAUCUUAACUGAACUCGUAUAUUCUUUGCAGCAAUACUUUGGUUAAACGACAGUCAAUGAACAUUUUUUUUUAACAUCGUAAGAAAAUGUACCAUCUAUGUUUACAAGGUUGAGAGUCGUUUUUCCUUACCCUCAUAAUAUCGUAAUUCGAGCGAUAUUAAACGUAAUAUUUUUUCACAGUGUCAUCGGUCAUUCUCUUCGCUCUGACUUAUCCCGUUUGUUUUGCAGUUCCUCGUUUUUUCCUCGGCAUUCCGUUGUUUCGUCCGAAAACCAAAUUCAGCAGAAAAAGAGCUCUUCAGCGGGAAUAUCGAUAUGAUAUCGAUGGGAGAGCCGAUUUUUUGGGCCCAUUAAUUUGCAUACUCGAAAGACGAAGGAGUUACAGGAAAGGGCAGCGAGCGGUGCGUUUUUAUACCACAUCAUAAAUGUCAAUUAAAAACGAUAUUUUUGUAUUGUCAAGUUGCGCCCGUCGCAUCGCCAUAAAAUGUGUUAUAAAAAAGCUAACGGUUAAUGCUACGGUCUGCUGAAGUUCAUGUGUGGAAGAGUGGAAAAAAAUGAGAAAAGAGGGAAAGAAACAAAAACUAUUCGCCGCUCAAUAGAAAGUUUGUGUUAAUAAAAAAUACCUAAAAACUUAAACACACAAAAUAUGUGUGUCGAAAUAUGUAUGGCAGCAACAAAAAAGAGUGAAUGAAAAAAUGUUGACCUAAUUUUCGGGGACCAGUUGGGGUUGUUGUUUUUGUUUUUGGUCUUGUUUAUUUCAGCAACGUCGACGGCGGCAGAGGCGGCGGCGCAUACUUUCCCACACAGCUUCCAGCUCAUUCCCAUUCCAGAUUCCAGGCCAUUCCCAGCAGCGUGUGAUCAUCGCGGGAGCAGCGCCACCGUUCCCUUCGCACGCUUUCCUCUCCUUCCCGCUGGAACGACGUCUAAAUUAAUGAUUGUUAAAUGGAGAUUGCGUAUUUUAUGUCAGUGUGUGUGUGUAUGUGCUAGGCACUCCACACACCAAUGCAGUUGGAGAAAUACGGGCGCGCCUGCGCAGAAACUAUUUAUAAAGGUAUGUAAUCCCCAAUUUGAUAACUCACAGGCAUUUUACAGUUCACGUCCCCCCACCCCAAAAAAAAAGCAAAAACUCAGCGCCACUAAUUGUGUGCUAUUUUUAUUAAAAAAAAAAAAAAAAAUAAAAAACGAAAAGAAAAGAAGGAAAGAAUGAAAGACUAAAACCUUAAGAUCAUUUUUUUUUUCUCGCGGCGCGUGUGAAAAUAUUUAGGCUAGCCAAGGUAUUUUUAUUCUCGCCUCUUGUGGAUCUUUGAGUCCCUCGUUCUUCGCUUCUUUGUGGUCUCUCUUGCUUUUUAAAGUGUUAACUGGCAGCAUAUAAUUUCGGUCGACUUGACAUACAUUAUAAUUAUAGUUAUUAAAUGUGAGCCAGGCACGUGCGUGAAAAACGCUCAGAUGCAGAUGUUGUUGAUGUUAUAAAGACCACGAUCGAAUGAGGAAAAACGGAAAACGAACGAAAAGCGUUUGUAACUCCAAUGAUUUGACUACGAAACCGGUUUUCGAUUUGGUUUGACUGUUUUUCAUACAAGUGAGAUCAUUUUGAAAGCUGAUUUUGUCAAUGAAUACCACAUUCCACAUUCCGAUGGUCGAUUUUUGUUGUUUGGUGUGCCUACACAGAUAUAGCGAUAUCGUGUAACAAAGCUUUGAACUUAUGCCGACAGAUCCAAGUCGGAUCGAGAUGGGUAUGGGGAUGGAGAUGGAGAUGGGGCUGGGAAAUCGAAGGAUAAAUGCUUCCAAUUCCAUAGAAAUGGACAGCAUGCUGCUGGAUGGAUUUUGCUCAGUGUAAGAGCCGCGCCUGCGCCGCUGCUGUAGCUACAUUGUCUCUAUUGCUCUUUUCCGACUGUCUUCCCAAGGCGAGUUGGAUGUUGGACGUGGAGAAUGAAAAUCGGAGUCAAUGAGAAGGCCUGCUUGGGUAAACAGCAUUCCAAGCAUACCAGCGGCGACCGAAUCUAAACAACUUGAUGUUGGUAUUUUAUGCUUUGUUUGCCCAUUACAAAAGCCCUUUUGAUUCGUAAACGCGGCGCUGAUAACGCUGCGGAGACGAUAAGCGAUGUAUGUGUGUAGUUAGGUGUGGGUAUAGUGCGAGUGAGUACGUAACCCGGUCGGGGCGACCCACCUGGGCAAUGAACUCCGACCGUCCGACCGUCCGACCGACCGACGGUUUUUUCAUUCAUGAAACGAUCGACAAAGUGGAUCACGUUGGACAGAGGUGGAGAGCUAUACGGCCGAAAAGUCGUGAUAAACAUAUUUACCAAUUGAUUAUUUUCCAACACAAACACGCGUUGGCUUACAUAAGUGCCAACAUAUAUCGCUUAGUAUAUAUGUAUGUGGCUUCUGGCAUAUAGCACAUGCCAAGGUGCUAAUCAGCAUGCACACACACAUCGAUUUCCACAUAGGUCCACGUACAUGCGAUGGAUUCGGAUUUGGAUUUGGAAUAGGAAUAGGAAUCGGAAUAGGCAUGGGCAAGGGCACUUGGAUUUGGGGUGACUUUCUAAAUGCCCCGUGGCAGCUGCAGCUGUUUCUUCCCCACUUCCCGAUUCACGGUUCCGAUUUCCUAGAAUUCAAUAUAAACUCGUAUGCUAUGCAAACUGGAGCGACGACUCCCUGGAAUGCCUUGUGUAACUAAAUUUAAACGCCUUAUAGGCCCGAGAUGUGCCACUUCACAUGGCGAUUUAGUGGGCAGUUAUUGUGCUAUGCCUCAUUAGGAUGGAAGAUCAAAGCCGAAAGAUAUCCGAAAACAAGUAUUUGUCGGCCCGUUUAUGUCUACUUAAAUGAUGGAGCUUAUCUAUAAGUCUCCACAUUUUUUAGUCUUAGAUAAUUUGCAUUUACUUUGUAAUCAUUACUUAAAUGUAUCAUCCCAGAACUUAUUGAAUUGUAUUGUAUUACAUGUUGGAUUGUAAGAGAUGUCGAAAAUAAACGUGCCUUCGGUGUGCAAAUUAAUCGCUAA